This 253-nucleotide ribosomal RNA is filed under the name uncultured bacterium. RNAcentral describes it as "partial 16S ribosomal RNA". It matches the Rfam family "Bacterial small subunit ribosomal RNA", at positions 524 to 776 of the family's 1533-position model. The record is from RNAcentral.
UACAGAGGUCUCAAGCGUUGUUCGGAUUCAUUGGGCGUAAAGGGUGCGUAGGUGGUGGCGUAAGUCUGGUGUGAAAUCUCGGGGCUCAACCCCGAAAUUGCACCGGAUACUGCGUGACUAGAGGACUGUAGAGGAGAGUGGAAUUCACGGUGUAGCAGUGAAAUGCGUAGAUAUCGUGAGGAAGACCAGUUGCGAAGGCGACUCUCUGGGCAGUUCCUGACACUGAGGCACGAAGGCCAGGGGAGCAAACGGG